CCUACGGGAGGCUGCAGGGGGGAAUAUUGCACAAUGGGGGAAACCCUGAUGCAGCAACGCCGCGUGAGUGAAGAAGUAUCUCGGUAUGUAAAGCUCUAUCAGCAGGGAAGAAAAUGACGGUACCUGCCUAAGAAGCCCCGGCUCACUACGUGACAGCAGCGGCGGUCAUACGUAGGGGACAAGCGUUAUCCGGAUUUACUGGGUGUAAGGGGAGCGUAGACGGUGUGGCAAUGCUGAAGUGAAAGCCCGGGGCUCAACCCCGGGACUGCUUUGGAAACUGUCAUGCUGGAGUGCUGGAGAGGUAAGCGGAAUUCCUAGUGUAGCGGUGAAAUGCGUAGAUAUUAGGAGGAACACCAGUGGCGAAGGCGGCUUACUGGACAGUAACUGACGUUGAGGCUCGAAAGCGUGGGGAGCAAACAGGAUUAGAUACCCGGGUAGUC
This 440-nucleotide ribosomal RNA is filed under the name uncultured bacterium. RNAcentral describes it as "partial 16S ribosomal RNA". It matches the Rfam family "Bacterial small subunit ribosomal RNA", at positions 338 to 795 of the family's 1533-position model. The record is from RNAcentral.